UAAGGAAUAUUGGUCAAUGGACGAAAGUCUGAACCAGCCAUGCCGCGUGGAGGAUGAAGGUCCUCUGGAUUGUAAACUUCUUUUAUAUGGGACGAAAAAGGGACUUUCUAGUUCAACUGACGGUACCAUAUGAAUAAGCACCGGCUAACUCCGUGCCAGCAGCCGCGGUAAUACGGAGGGUGCAAGCGUUAUCCGGAUUCACUGGGUUUAAAGGGUGCGUAGGUGGGUUGGUAAGUCAGUGGUGAAAUCUCCGAGCUUAACUUGGAAACUGCCAUUGAUACUAUCAGUCUUGAAUACCGUGGAGGUCAGCGGAAUAUGUCAUGUAGCGGUGAAAUGCUUAGAUAUGACAUAGAACACCAAUUGCGAAGGCAGCUGGCUACACGAAUAUUGACACUGAGGCACGAAAGCGUGGGGAUCAAACA
RNAcentral lists this ribosomal RNA (422 nucleotides) under uncultured Terrimonas sp. RNAcentral's name for it is "bacterial SSU rRNA". It matches the Rfam family "Bacterial small subunit ribosomal RNA", at positions 355 to 774 of the family's 1533-position model. The record is from RNAcentral. Lineage: Bacteria; Pseudomonadati; Bacteroidota; Chitinophagia; Chitinophagales; Chitinophagaceae.